AGUGAACGCUGGCGGUAGGCCUAACACAUGCAAGUCGAACGGCAGCACAGUAAGAGCUUGCUCUUACGGGUGGCGAGUGGCGGACGGGUGAGGAAUACAUCGGAAUCUACUUUUUCGUGGGGGAUAACGUAGGGAAACUUACGCUAAUACCGCAUACGACCUACGGGGGAAAGCAGGGGAUCUUCGGACCUUGCGCGAUUGAAUGAGCCGAUGUCGGAUUAGCUAGUUGGGGGGGUAAAGGCCCACCAAGGCGACGAUCCGUAGCUGGGCUGAGAGGAUGAUCCGCCACCCUGGAACUUAGACACGGUCCAGACUCCUACGGGAGGCAGCAGUGGGGAAUAUUGGACAAUGGGCGCAAGCCUGAUCCAGCCAUACCGCGUGGGUGAAGAAGGCCUUCGGGUUGUAAAGCCCUUUUGUUGGGAAAGAAAAGCAGCAGGUUAAUACCCCGCUGUUCUGACGGUACCCAAAGAAUAAGCACCGGCUAACUUCGUG
RNAcentral lists this ribosomal RNA (492 nucleotides) under uncultured bacterium. Its description in RNAcentral is "partial 16S ribosomal RNA". It matches the Rfam family "Bacterial small subunit ribosomal RNA", at positions 29 to 507 of the family's 1533-position model. The record is from RNAcentral.